GAGAGAGACAUGCGCGCAUAUCAAUAAGCGGAGGAAAAGAAACUAACAAGGAUUCCCUUAGUAACGGCGAGUGAAGCGGGAAGAGCUCAAAUUUGAAAUCUUCAAGGUUUUACCUUGACGAAUUGUAGUUUAAAGAAGUGUUUUCUGCUGAAGUUUUGGUAAAAGUUCUUUGGAAUAGGACAUCAUAGAGGGUGAGAAUCCCGUAUUUGACCAUUAUUUUCAGCUUUGUGAUACACUUUCAAAGAGUCGGAUUGUUGGGAAUGCAGUCCAAAAUGGGUGGUAAAUUUCAUCUAAAGCUAAAUAUUGGCGAGAGACCGAUAGCGAACAAGUACCGUGAGGGAAAGAUGAAAAGAACUUUGAAAAGAGAGUUAAACAGUACGUGAAAUUGUCAAAAGGGAAGCGUUUGACACCAGUGUUGUUUUCUCGAAAAUCAAUUAAAAAUGGCUCGAUUUUGUAUUGCUGAGACCUUAAAAGCUCACUGUACAUUUUUCGUGUCUUUUUUAAUGCACUUUUCGUUUAACAAGUCAACAUCAGUUUCUUUUGUUGUAAAAGGGUCAUUGGAAGGUGGCUUUCUUUUCGGAGAAAGUGUUUAUAGCCUUUGGCCUCUGCAAUCGGAGAGACUGAGGUCUGCAGCGUAGACUCUUCGGGGUUAGAUACAUUUGUGCUAAGUUAUAGCUUUUUAUAGACAACUUGUUGACUAUAAUUAGUCUUGUAGCUUACUCGCUUAUGCUAUUUUACCUACGCUUAGGAUGUUGAAGAUGUAGCACAUCAU
This 772-nucleotide ribosomal RNA is filed under the name uncultured Neocallimastigales. RNAcentral's name for it is "partial large subunit ribosomal RNA". It matches the Rfam family "Eukaryotic large subunit ribosomal RNA", at positions 23 to 634 of the family's 3401-position model. The record is from RNAcentral. Lineage: Eukaryota; Fungi; Neocallimastigomycota; Neocallimastigomycetes; Neocallimastigales.